GGGGUUGGGGAUUUAGCUCAGUGGUAGAGCGCUUGCCUAGCAAGCGCAAGGCCCUGGGUUCGGUCCUCAGCUUCG
RNAcentral lists this transfer RNA (75 nucleotides) under Rattus norvegicus (Norway rat). Lineage: Eukaryota; Metazoa; Chordata; Mammalia; Rodentia; Muridae. The record is from RNAcentral.